CACAUGGAGUAAUAUAUUUUUCCCAGAGUGUUAUGGAUGCUGUCUACCUCUCACGUCAUUCAGAGGACUUCUAGCACAGAUGGACUUGGGGCACUGAGCGUGACAUUGCUCUGUUCUUUGAUGACCCAGCUGCUGGACCUAUUCUCAGAGUACUGCUGAGAGCAAGGAAUCCUGUUGCCCUGGACAGAGCUGAGCGAGGGUGGCUGAGAGCACCUGAAGGAGUGCUGCCUGUUUGAGGACAACUCAGAGGCAGCUAUCUUGAUCUAUUUCCCACUGGUGUGUGACACCUUCCAAAAAUACAAGGCACCUAGUAAGUUAAGAGCCUUAAUC
RNAcentral lists this long non-coding RNA (330 nucleotides) under Dromaius novaehollandiae (emu). RNAcentral's name for it is "lncRNA (ENSDNVG00000018369.1)". Lineage: Eukaryota; Metazoa; Chordata; Aves; Casuariiformes; Dromaiidae. The record is from RNAcentral.